This 460-nucleotide ribosomal RNA is filed under the name uncultured bacterium. Its description in RNAcentral is "partial 16S ribosomal RNA". It matches the Rfam family "Bacterial small subunit ribosomal RNA", at positions 338 to 795 of the family's 1533-position model. The record is from RNAcentral.
CCUACGGGUGGCAGCAGUGAGGAAUAUUGGUCAAUGGACGAGAGUCUGAACCAGCCAAGUAGCGUGAAGGAUGACUGCCCUAUGGGUUGUAAACUUCUUUUAUAUGGGAAUAAAACGUUCCACGUGUGGGAUUUUGUAUGUACCAUAUGAAUAAGGAUCGGCUAACUCCGUGCCAGCAGCCGCGGUAAUACGGAGGAUCCGAGCGUUAGCCGGAUUUAUUGGGUUUAAAGGGAGCGUAGGUGGAUUGUUAAGUCAGUUGUGAAAGUUUGCGGCUCAACCGUAACAUUGCAGUUGAAACUGGCAGUCUUGAGUACAGUAGAGGUGGGCGGAAGUCGUGGUGUAGCGGUGAAAUGCUUAGAUAUCACGAAGAACUCCGAUUGCGAAGGCAGUUCACUGGACUGCAACUGACACUGAGGCUCGAAAGUGUGGGUAUCAAACAGGAUUAGAUACCCGAGUAGUC